UGCACUGCGCGCGGCAUGGUCGUCCUCCGGAACACCAAAGGCGCAAAAAACAUAACUUGAGUUGUGCGGGAUUACGGGCGCGGCUCUCUGCAGCGUCCCUCCAUCCCCGGGUGUUGUAACCGGCAUGCGGUGUGGUCCCUCGGGGCCGUCACCGUGCCACAACAUACCGUGAGUGUGCAGGAUGUGACCCGAAAGAUGGUGAACUAUGCCUGAUCAGGUUGAAGUCAGGGGAAACCCUGAUGGAGGACCGAAGCAGUUCUGACGUGCAAAUCGAUUGUCAGAAUUGGGCAUAGGGGCGAAAGACCAAUCGAACCAUCUAGUAGCUGGUUCCUUCCGAA
This 338-nucleotide ribosomal RNA is filed under the name Culex mimulus. RNAcentral's name for it is "eukaryotic LSU rRNA". It matches the Rfam family "Eukaryotic large subunit ribosomal RNA", at positions 676 to 965 of the family's 3401-position model. Lineage: Eukaryota; Metazoa; Arthropoda; Insecta; Diptera; Culicidae. The record is from RNAcentral.